Molecule: non-coding RNA, 199 nt
Filed under: Bacteroides sp.
Lineage: Bacteria; Pseudomonadati; Bacteroidota; Bacteroidia; Bacteroidales; Bacteroidaceae
Source: RNAcentral
UUAUCUUUGCGCUGCAUUGGUUUGCAAUCCUCUUUCGGGAAAGCAAUUAAAAGGGAAUCAGGUGAGAAUCCUGAACAGUCCCGCUGCUGUAAGUUUCGUGAAGUGUGACAGGCACAUACCUCUUAAGCCACUGGAUACGUCCGGGAAGGCGUCUGCCACAGAAACAAGUCAGAAGACCUGCCAUGCAACACACUUUAUC